AUUGAACGCUGGCGGCAGGCCUAACACAUGCAAGUCGAGCGGAUGAAGGGAGCUUGCUCCUGGAUUCAGCGGCGGACGGGUGAGUAAUGCCUAGGAAUCUGCCUGGUAGUGGGGGAUAACGUCCGGAAACGGGCGCUAAUACCGCAUACGUCCUGAGGGAGAAAGUGGGGGAUCUUCGGACCUCACGCUAUCAGAUGAGCCUAGGUCGGAUUAGCUAGUUGGUGGGGUAAAGGCCUACCAAGGCGACGAUCCGUAACUGGUCUGAGAGGAUGAUCAGUCACACUGGAACUGAGACACGGUCCAGACUCCUACGGGAGGCAGCAGCGGGGAAUAUUGGACAAUGGGCGAAAGCCUGAUCCAGCCAUGCCGCGUGUGUGAAGAAGGUCUUCGGAUUGUAAAGCACUUUAAGUCGGGAGGAAGGGCAGUAAGUUAAUACCUUGCUGUUUUGACGUUACCAACAGAAUAAGCACCGGCUAACUUCGUG
This 484-nucleotide ribosomal RNA is filed under the name uncultured bacterium. Its description in RNAcentral is "partial 16S ribosomal RNA". It matches the Rfam family "Bacterial small subunit ribosomal RNA", at positions 30 to 507 of the family's 1533-position model. The record is from RNAcentral.